CCUACGGGAGGCAGCAGUAGGGAAUAUUGCUCAAUGGGGGAAACCCUGAAGCAGCAACGCCGCGUGGAGGAUGAAGGUUCUCGGAUUGUUAACCCUCUUUGUUAGAGAAGAUAAUGACGGUAUCUAACGAAUAAGCACCGGCUAACUCCGUGACAGCAGCCGCGGUAAUACGGAGGGUGCAAGCGUUACUCGGAAUCACUGGGCGUAAAGCGCGCGUAGGCGGGAUAGCAAGUCAGAUGGGAAAUCCUAGGGCUUAACCAUAGAACUGCAGUUGAAACUGGUAUUCUAGAGUUUGGGAGAGGUAGGUGGAAUGCUUGGUGUAGUGGUGAAAUGCGUAGAGAUCAAGAAGAAUACUGAUUGCGAAGGCAGCCUGCUGGAACAUAACUGACGCUGAUGCGCGAAAGCGUGGGGAGCGAACAGGAUUAGAUACCCGGGUAGUC
RNAcentral lists this ribosomal RNA (440 nucleotides) under uncultured bacterium. RNAcentral's name for it is "partial 16S ribosomal RNA". It matches the Rfam family "Bacterial small subunit ribosomal RNA", at positions 338 to 795 of the family's 1533-position model. The record is from RNAcentral.